AGCAGCCGCGGUAAUUCCAGCUCCAAUAGCGUAUAUUAAAGUUGUUGCAGUUAAAAAGCUCGUAGUUGAAUUUCGGGGUCAGUAGAUUGGUCAUGCCACUGGUAUGUACUGGUCUCACUGAUUCCUCCUUCCUGAUGAGCCGUAAUGCCAUUAAUUUGGUGUUGCGAGGAAUCUGGACUGUUACUUUGAAAAAAUUAGAGUGUUUAAAGCAGGCUAACGCUUGAAUACAUUAGCAUGGAAUAAUGAAAUAGGACGUUCGAUCUUAUUUUGUUGGUUUCUAAGAUUGACGUAAUGAUUAAUAGGGAUAGUUGGGGGCAUUAGUAUUCAAUUGUCAGAGGUGAAAUUCUUGGAUUUAUUGAAGACUAACUACUGCGAAAGCAUUUGCCAAGGAUGUUUUCAUUAAUUCAAGAACGAAAGUUAGGGGAAUCGAAGACGAUCAGAUACCGUCGUAGUCUUAACCAUAAACUAUAGCCGACUAGGGAUCGGAUGAUAGUUUAAUUUUUUAAAUUGUACUAC
RNAcentral lists this ribosomal RNA (516 nucleotides) under uncultured Glomus. RNAcentral's name for it is "SSU rRNA". It matches the Rfam family "Eukaryotic small subunit ribosomal RNA", at positions 569 to 1077 of the family's 1831-position model. Lineage: Eukaryota; Fungi; Glomeromycota; Glomeromycetes; Glomerales; Glomeraceae. The record is from RNAcentral.